UGUGUCCCCCCUAUAGAGCUGAGCCCACAGCAGAAGGAGUUCCAGGCCACAGCACGGCGCUUUGCACUGGAGGAAAUCAUCCCCGUGGCAGCACAGUAUGACCGAACUGGAGAGUACCCCAUGCCCCUGAUCAAACGUGCCUGGGAGCUGGGGCUGAUCAAUACUCACAUCCCUGAGAGCUGCGGCGGGCUGGGCCUGGGCUGCUUCGAGGCCUGCCUCAUCACCGAGGAGCUGGCGUACGGCUGCACCGGCGUCCAG
Meleagris gallopavo (turkey) is the source of this 258-nucleotide non-coding RNA. The record is from RefSeq and is a predicted model, not a curated record. Lineage: Eukaryota; Metazoa; Chordata; Aves; Galliformes; Phasianidae.